This 376-nucleotide unclassified non-coding RNA is filed under the name uncultured Frankiales bacterium. RNAcentral describes it as "contains 16S-23S intergenic spacer region". The record is from RNAcentral. Lineage: Bacteria; Bacillati; Actinomycetota; Actinomycetes; Frankiales.
UCCGAGUUGACCCCGGCAGUCUCCUAUGAGUCCCCGGCCGAACCGCUGGCAACAUAGGACGAGGGUUGCGCUCGUUGCGGGACUUAACCCAACAUCUCACGACACGAGCUGACGACAACCAUGCACCACCUGUGCAGGACCCUUGCGGACCCGGCAUCUCUGCCGGAUUUCCCUGCAUGUCAAGCCUAGGUAAGGUUCUUCGCGUUGCCUCGAAUUAAGCCACAUGCUCCGCCGCUUGUGCGGGCCCCCGUCAAUUCCUUUGAGUUUUAGCCUUGCGGCCGUACUCCCCAGGCGGGGCGCUUAAUGCGUUAGCUGCGGCACGGAGGCCGUGGAAGGACCCCCACACCUAGCGCCCAACGUUUACGGCGUGGACUAC